Molecule: non-coding RNA, 268 nt
Organism: Pelodiscus sinensis (Chinese soft-shelled turtle)
Lineage: Eukaryota; Metazoa; Chordata; Testudines; Trionychidae
Source: RefSeq, a predicted model, not a curated record
CAGGAAUAUACAGCUUGCCAAAACACCUGUUCAGCUUCCUUGACAGGAACAUCUCCUGAAACAGUGUUGUUUUCAAAGAACAUCAAAAGGUGCAAAUAUCUUCACAUCAUUGUGUACUGAAGAUGGGGCCAUAGCUCUACCUGCUGUUCAUACACUUUGAGGAGGCUUGGAUGGAGCAAUCCCAGGGCUCACUGAAGCACAGGAACUGCAGCUGGAUCUGGAUCUGGAAUAAUUUCCAUCUCAGUCAUGAAAAAAACAGGAGACACAA